RNAcentral lists this ribosomal RNA (679 nucleotides) under Sheathia arcuata. RNAcentral describes it as "SSU rRNA". It matches the Rfam family "Eukaryotic small subunit ribosomal RNA", at positions 591 to 1280 of the family's 1831-position model. Lineage: Eukaryota; Rhodophyta; Florideophyceae; Batrachospermales; Batrachospermaceae. The record is from RNAcentral.
CUGUAAGCGUAUACCAAAGUUGUUGCAGUUAAAACGCUCGUAGUCGGAUUUUGGUGCGCGCCGGGCUGUGCGCGUAGUGCGUGCGGCGCGGGGCGUGCUUUUGUGGAGGGCGGCCGCUCGUGGCUUUGCUGUUGCGGGUGUGUCGGCGCCACCGUUUACUGUGAAAAAAUUAGAGUGUUCAAAGCAGGCGUUUGCCGUGAAUACAUUAGCAUGGAAUAAUAGAAUAGGACUCGUACCUAUUUUGUUGGUUUGUGAGGGCCGAGUAAUGAUUAAGAGGGACGGUUGGGGGCAUUUGUAUUCCGGCGUCAGAGGUGAAAUUCUUGGAUUGCCGGAAGACAAACCGCUGCGAAAGCGUCUGCCAAGGACGUUUUCAUUGAUCAAGAACGAAAGUAAGGGGAUCGAAGACGAUCAGAUACCGUCGUAGUCUUUACUAUAAACGAUGAGAACUGGGGAUCGGGCGGGCAUUAUGAUGACCCGUCCGGGACCCUCCGGGAAACCAAAGUGUUUGCUUUCUGGGGGGAGUAUGGUCGCAAGGCUGAAACUUAAAGGAAUUGACGGAAGGGCAUCACCGGGUGUGGAGCCUGCGGCUUAAUUUGACUCAACACGGGAAAACUUACCAGGUCCGGACAUAGUGAGGAUUGACAGAUUGAGAGCUCUUUCUUGAUUCUAUGGUUGGUGG